AGGUAAUUGGGAGGGGAGCUGGAGUCAGUUGGCUGUGCAGAGAAGAAGGAGGUAGUGCUGUGAGGAGACGCUCAUGAGAAAUGACCAAGAAGGGGAGUUCCUCUGGGAUUUGAUACAGCUACAUUUGAUAUUAUAAAGAAUUUUAAACUGGUAAUAAAUGUGUGCAUAUCUGUUCCUAAACAGCAGCAGUUUGGAACAGUUUUAUAUGCACACCAUGUAUUAACAGCCCCAGCAAGAAAGCUGAAGAAGCCAGAAGGAUGAACGAAACAUCCCAACAACUGCAAGCCUACAUGACUACUCCUUUGUUUGUUACACUCUAGAUUAUGUGCCCAGUGGCAUCAAUUCAACCCCCAGCCAUCCUGAAGAACGCCACCAGAACCGAAGAACUUCCAAGUCUGAGCUUCCAAGUCUCUCCCGAUGAACUCAGCAGUUCCCUCAGGUUGUGCUUAAAACGCCAAAGCCUCUGAGCGCCGGAGCCAUCCUGUCCCCUCCCUGCACCCUGCACAUCAGCAGCGCUACAGCUCCCGCAACAACUUCUCGGCAUCCCCACACCACCAGGAGACUCAGCCGCAGCCCUGUUCCGCCCAGCGGGAAGGUCCCAAGAAGCCCUGGGGGGAGGCAGGCAAAGAAAAACAGGGUCUGCCGGCAGAACAGUCCUGUUCCCCGUCUCCAGCGUGAAUGACGCAUCGAGAAGGGUUUUCCUGCCCUCUCGUGUAGCAGGCCGGAGGAGACGGCUGGAUUCUCUCCCACCAGAACCUGUGUGGCCUGAAGGAGAGGGUGAUCAGUCCUCACAGCUCAGUUUUGAGUUGUACCACUGAGCUAUGCCAAUGUGUUUUAGGAGAUCCUUGUGCUCAUAAAUGCUUUGAGUCUUUCAAAAUCCCCCAAAAUAGAUCUGACCUGUUACUGAGACCUUGCUCUAGCUUCUGUAGAAAUUUCCCUCCCAGACUAAACAUCACAUGCAGCAGCUGAAAAACAACAGCAUCCCUGAUGUACUGGGGAAGAGCUGGAACUUCUUGGUUCUGCACACAAAAUGAGCUAGCUGCACCCAAACUGCUCAUUACAGGCUCAGUCACAGAAGCUGCAUGAAUGACAGGCUGGAAACAGAGGAAAUUCCAUUUUAAUUGCAGAGGAAUCACCUUUGGCUAAAGUAGGGCACAGAGGUGCUCAAUAAACAGCAGAGUUAGAAGCAAUAUCAGCAUUUUCACAUUCUAUUUCUCCAAAGUGAAGAAAUAAAUAUGCUCUGUUAGUGAGGCUUUGAGGCUGAAUAUCUGAAGGUAGCAUUGAGCCUUAAAUUAACACACUGUUCAAGUAUUAAAAAAUUAUAUAGGAUUAAUUGAACAUGUGACCUGGGCUCCUUGGCCUUGAAGCAGCCCUCAGUUAAAUGGAACUCCUGGAAAGUGUUUGUUGUGAUGACUAAGAAGCACUCUCUGUGUACAGCGGGUAAACUCUUCAGUAGUAGAGGUGGCUCCUCUUCUGGCUGACUGUGAUUUCAUUUCUACUGACCUAUUUGGCAAAGGCUAUGAUGUGAUGAUUUCACAUCCAUACCACACUGGUAAAUAAAACUGCCAUUAUGGUAAUUUUUGAGGAUGCUCUACCUAAUUAUUGAUAUUCCACCUCUUGUUUUGGAGGAAUAUAAAGCAUUGCUUGAAAAAAACUUCUAGUAUUAUGAUGAUGACUUAGUGUUUACA
This is a long non-coding RNA of Zonotrichia leucophrys gambelii, 1688 nucleotides long. RefSeq lists it as uncharacterized. The record is from RefSeq and is a predicted model, not a curated record. NCBI's taxonomy places the organism in Eukaryota, Metazoa, Chordata, Aves, Passeriformes, Passerellidae. The transcript has 5 exons.